CUGGUUGAUCCUGCCAGUAGUCAUAUGCUUGUCUCAAAGAUUAAGCCAUGCAUGUCUAAGUACAAGCCUCAUUAAGGUGAAACCGCGAAUGGCUCAUUAAAUCACACCUAAUCUACUGGAAUGUUAGCAGUUACUUGGAUAACUGAGGUAAUUCUUGAGCUAAUACAUGCGAAAAAUCUCGACUCACGAAGAGAUGCUUUUAUUAGAUCAAAACCAAUCGGAGCAAUCCGUAACAAUUGGUGACUCUGAAUAACUUUGGGCUGAUAGUAUUGCCUUGCGCAGACUACGUUUCCUUCGAAGGUGUGCCCUAUCAACUUUCGACUGUGAUAUAGACGCUCACAGUGGUUUUGACGGGUAACGGGGAAUCAGGGUUCGAUUCCGGAGAGGGAGCCUUAAAAACGGCUACCACAUCCAAGGAAGGCAGCAGGCACGCAAAUUACCCAAUGGUCGAAGACCGAGGUAGUGACGAAAAAUAACAAUACUGGACUCUUCCGAGGCCCAGUAAUUGGAAUGAGUACACUUUAAAACCGUUCCCGAGGAUCUAUUGGAGGGCAAGUCUGGU
RNAcentral lists this ribosomal RNA (562 nucleotides) under uncultured eukaryote. Its description in RNAcentral is "SSU rRNA". It matches the Rfam family "Eukaryotic small subunit ribosomal RNA", at positions 4 to 565 of the family's 1831-position model. The record is from RNAcentral.